Molecule: long non-coding RNA, 928 nt
Filed under: Volvox carteri
Lineage: Eukaryota; Viridiplantae; Chlorophyta; Chlorophyceae; Chlamydomonadales; Volvocaceae
Description: long non-coding RNA (VCAR_LNC002077)
Source: RNAcentral
CGUUUUGAUACCGAAUUGGUGGUUCUGUGUGAUCGAGGAUUAAUAUACCAUCACGUUCCGUGUCGUACCCCGUUCCUUUGCGCCUGUACGGCAGAUCCGGAUCACGCCAGAUUUUGAACGGGCCCCGCUAACGAGCUCCCUGGUCCUGGAGCUGGCGCACCACCCAGCCGCUUGCCAUACCUGUAACUUUUACCGCAACGAGGCGGUGCCUCAGGUGUGCAGUGUGACGAGGGGGAAUUGGGGGGUUGCGAAUGUGGGUGUGCGCAUUGAGACGGAAGCUGAAGCUAAACGUUUGCGGCUGGCUUCUUGGUAACAUGCUUUUCGUUUGCUGCACAUGAUGUACGAAGGUGUACGGGUUGAUUAGCUGUUUUGUUGGUGCGGCCUUUGGUGGUAGACACCAAGUUUCCAGUAUAGGUGUGUAGUUGUUGUUAUUACAGCGUGUGUUGUGGGUCGUAGGGGUCCACGUUUCCCUCCGUGGCGUCCUUGCAACCGCGCAACUUGAUGUCCUUCUUGACAGAGGGUUGGCAUUCGACUUGAGGUUCCCUACUGGCUCCGAAAUCCCUGAGCCCUGUCAUGCCCCUGUCGGGUUAUGUGUUUUUGUGAGUCUGUGACCCACCCACUGCUCUUUUUACCGACGGACCCGCGGGUCGCAGGACGGUUCUUCGGGUCCCCCAUACGGACUGCUCCAGGGAAGUUUGGCGGGGUUGCUCAAGAUCCCGGAGAAGGAGGGCGGCGACAUAGCCAUGAGGUAGGUUGUGGAGAAGGAGGGAAAGGAAGGCGGGUGGGUGGAAAGUGCGACCGGAUGGCAAGGGGAGAGGGGACGGGUUUGAUGGAAGUUGCCGGUUAAGGGGAUGGGAGGGGCGAGCGGGGGUUUGCGUGGCUAAUACCUGUUAUGAUGCCAGAGUUGGGAGCAACCUGUCGACUGUUU